This 446-nucleotide ribosomal RNA is filed under the name uncultured bacterium. RNAcentral's name for it is "bacterial SSU rRNA". It matches the Rfam family "Bacterial small subunit ribosomal RNA", at positions 330 to 793 of the family's 1533-position model. The record is from RNAcentral.
GCCAGACUCCUACGGGAGGCAGCAGUGGGGGAUAUUGCACAAUGGGGGGAACCCUGAUGCAGCAACGCCGCGUGAGUGAAGAAGCCAUUCGUGAUGUAAAGCUCUAUCAGCAGGGAAGAAAAUGACGGUACCUGAGUAAGAAGCCCCGGCUAACUACGUGCCAGCAGCCGCGGUAAUACGUAGGGGGCAAGCGUUAUCCGGAUUUACUGGGUGUAAAGGGAGCGUAGACGGCCAGACAAGUCUGAAGUGAAAAUCCAGCGCUUAACGUUGGAAGUGCUUUGGAAACUGCCGGGCUGGAGUGCAGGAGGGGCAGGCGGAAUUCCUAGUGUAGCGGUGAAAUGCGUAGAUAUUAGGAGGAACACCAGUGGCGAAGGCGGCCUGCUGGACUGCAACUGACGUUGAGGCUCGAAGGCGUGGGGAGCAAACAGGAUUAGAUACCCCAGUAA